This 497-nucleotide ribosomal RNA is filed under the name uncultured bacterium. RNAcentral describes it as "partial 16S ribosomal RNA". It matches the Rfam family "Bacterial small subunit ribosomal RNA", at positions 28 to 507 of the family's 1533-position model. The record is from RNAcentral.
GAUGAACGCUGGCGGCGUGCCUAAUACAUGCAAGUCGAGCGAACGGACGAGAAUCUUGCUUCUUUGAUGUUAGCGGCGGACGGGUGUGUAACGCGUGUAUAAUCUACCUAUAAUACUGGUAUAAUUUCGGGAAACCGGCGCUAAUACCGUAUAAUAUUUUGAUCCACAGUGUUCAAAGGUAAGAUACGGUGUUUCGGUCUGGUAUAGCUGCAUCCGCGCUGCAUUAGCUAGUUGGUAAGGUAACGGCUUACCAAGGCAACGAGGCAUAGCCGACCUGAGGGGGGGAUAGGCCACAUUGGAACUGGGACACGGUCAAGACGACUAAGGGAGGCAGCAGAAGGGAAUCUGCCGCAAUGGGCGAAAACAUGACGGAGUAACGCCGAGUGAGUGACGAAGGUCUUCGGAUCGUAAAACUCUGUUAUGAGGGAAGAACAUAUGUGUAAGUAAAUGUGCACAUCUUGACGGUACCUAAUCAGAAAGCCACGGCUAACUACGUG